GGUUGCAGAGUUUACUGGAAACUCAAUACAUCGAGGAUCUUAGAAAAGGUACAGCCAAUUAGGUGAGCUCAAGCUGAAUUCUGCUGGUUGUUACGAGGAAAUCAUUGUGCAACUGUUUUGCAAGGGCAUUGAAACUGGUAGAACAAGAUACACGGCAUGUGGAAGUGAAACUGAAGAGAUUAAAGAACAGUUUGGGUUGUUGCUGGGUCUUCUUUAAUUACCUUUUUAAGACACUCCACUUUUCUUUAAAUAACAGCAUGAAGAAGGCCUCAUCUCUGAGAGGGAGCAAAUAAUCCUCUGUCAUGCGUAAGCACGCUUAUGAGAACAAGCCGGAUAUGAAUUUUCAGGAGACAAACCAAGCUGCACAGAAAGGACAGCACACGGGAGAUGAGAGAUGGAGAACAGGUUCUGUAACAAGCGCCCCUGUUUAAAGCGAGUCAGGAGAGGUCUCAGCAGCUAGCUCACCGGCAGAGGGAUUUGCUUUUCAGAGAAGGAAAAAUCUGAGAACACACUCAUUUCUUCUAUGGAUUCAGAAAACCACAGAAACAACUAGAGCCCAAGCCUUUGCUGUUCCCAGCAGGCCAGACCCUUCACUACAGCAAACGUAGCAUGGUUUCUUAUGAAACCCCUGUAUGAAACUGGUAUCUCUACUUAGGAGCUGAAUAAAUCUUCCUGCUGACACAAACUGA
This is a non-coding RNA of Anas platyrhynchos (mallard), 689 nucleotides long. The record is from RefSeq and is a predicted model, not a curated record. Lineage: Eukaryota; Metazoa; Chordata; Aves; Anseriformes; Anatidae.